RNAcentral lists this long non-coding RNA (230 nucleotides) under Solanum tuberosum (potato). RNAcentral's name for it is "long non-coding RNA (STUB_LNC000014)". The record is from RNAcentral. Lineage: Eukaryota; Viridiplantae; Streptophyta; Magnoliopsida; Solanales; Solanaceae.
AGGGCUAUACCUGCAGUUAUCUUGUGGGAAUUAUGGAAGAUGAGGAACUUAAGAAGACAUGACAAAGAUAUCACUUAGGCAGAAUGAUCCAGCAAGUUCAAACCACCAUUCAAUAUGUGAUCAAAGUGAAGUACACAUGGCUAUAUGACAGUCCAAAGGAUUGGAAUAGUUUUUGUAAUAUUUCUAGAAAGCUACAAAUCUAAAGUUUUCUACCAUGAAAUCAAAUAGGA